GACGAACGCUGGCGGCGUGCUUACCACAUGCAAGUCGAACGGAAAGGCCCUGCUUUUGUGGGGUGCUCGAGUGGCGAACGGGUGAGUAACACGUGAGUAACCUGCCCUUGACUUUGGGAUAACUUCAGUAACCUGGGGCUAAUACCGGAUAGGAGCUCCUGCUGCAUGGUGGGGGUUGGAAAGUUUCGGCGGUUGGGGUUGGACUCGCGGCUUAUCAGCUUGUUGGUGGGGUAGUGGCUUACCAAGGCUUUGACGGGUAGCAGGCAUGAGAGGGUGACCGGCCACAUUGGGACGGAGAGACGGCCCAGACUCCUACGGGAGGCAGCAGUGGGGAAUAUUGCACAAUGGGCGGAAGCAUGAUGCAGCAACGCCGCGUGCGGGAUGACGGCCUUCGGGUUGUAAACCGCUUUCGCCUGUGACGAAGCGUGAGUGACGGUAAUGGGUAAAGAAGCACCGGCUAACUACGUG
Molecule: ribosomal RNA, 468 nt
Filed under: uncultured bacterium
Lineage: Bacteria
Description: partial 16S ribosomal RNA
Rfam family: Bacterial small subunit ribosomal RNA
Source: RNAcentral